GGUGAACGCUGGCGGCGUGCCUAAUACAUGCAAGUCGAGCGAACAGACGAUGAGCUUGUGCCUCUCACGUUAGCGGCGGACGGGUGAGUAACGCGUGGAUAACCUACCUAUAAUUCUGGGAUAACUUCGGGAAACCGGAGCUAAUACCGUAUAAUAUAUUGAACCGCAGGGUUCAAUAGUGAAUUACGGCUUUUCUGUCACUUAUAGAUGGAUCCGCGCCGCAUUAGCUGGUUGGUAGGGUAACGGCUUACCAAGGCGACGAUGCGUAGCCGACCGGAGGGGGGGAUCGGCGACACGGGAACUGGGACACGGUCCAGACGCCUAAGGGAGGCACCAGUCGGGAAUCCUCGGCAAUGGGCGAAAGCCUGACGCAGCGAGGCCGAGUGAGUGAUGAAGGUCUUCGGUUCGUAAAGCCCUGUUAUUGGGGAAGAACAACUGUGGACGGAGACAUGGCGGUCUUGACGGUACCUAAUCAGAAAGCACCGGCUAACUACGUG
RNAcentral lists this ribosomal RNA (497 nucleotides) under uncultured bacterium. RNAcentral's name for it is "partial 16S ribosomal RNA". It matches the Rfam family "Bacterial small subunit ribosomal RNA", at positions 28 to 507 of the family's 1533-position model. The record is from RNAcentral.